UCUUGGCACUUGGUGGUUUGAAGGGCCAACGCGCAGGAUGCUUUAGCAAARCCGGAAUAUUUCUGACUGCCAAAAAUUUAGCGCACAAAUAUUUUAGUAAAUUCCUGCGAAACUUGAUCAUUCUGUGCUCUACGCUGUACUACUCAUGGUAAACAUUAGCGAUGUCUACAACUGUGUCCACAUCUUAUAGAUCAUAUUGGUAUCGGUACGUUGAUAAAUUGAAAAAGUGAUGAUCACUCUCUGAGUCAAAAUGGUACAGGGUACUGAGCAUGGUCCCACUUUAAAAGGAGAAGACAGUAAGCCAACCUUUCCACCUGUCUUGGUGACUGUUGACGAAGAUUUGGAGGAAACUCAUUACAUAGAUUCAUUGAAUUUACCAUAAUUUACAUAACAACUAUUUACUAGAUAAACCAAUCAACACUGCCGAUGAACUUACAAUAUGUAGGGCUGCAAAUAUUUAUUUGUUGGCAACACAAUCAACUUAAAAAAGUGGCUACACUCUUGUGGCAAAUCUGCCCACUUUACAACUGUAUUGGAAAUAAAACACUUUUGGGGGUUUCUUAAUUCCCAUCUUUUCAGA
Long non-coding RNA from Dendroctonus ponderosae (mountain pine beetle), 580 nucleotides. RefSeq lists it as uncharacterized. The record is from RefSeq and is a predicted model, not a curated record. Lineage: Eukaryota; Metazoa; Arthropoda; Insecta; Coleoptera; Curculionidae. The transcript is spliced from 3 exons.